CCUAGUCCAGGGCCAUGAUCAGACCUUAGCUAAGCAGCCAGGAUGGCUUCUGUCAUAUCCAGGUGACACUAUGACAUCACAGUGAGGAAGGAAGGGAAUGGACCCCAUGAUUCUCAGCCUCGGGCUGACCAGGAGGCUGUGGCUGGAGGUCACAUUUCCCUGUCUCUCUGUGCAGGUCACAUUCCCUGAGUCUCAGGAGCUGCCUGGACCUGUGCUUGUCACCUCCUGCAUCACCUGAAGCUCCAUGCUGACACCUGCUCAACUCUCCUACCAGCUGUCACCAGUGGCAAUGUCAUCAGGAGAACCAUUCCUGAAGCUCUUCCAGAAUUGACACAAUUUCCAGUCACUUUCUUAAAUUGCGUAGAUGGAUUCCUGUUAGCCAUUGAUCACCAGGAUCUGUAGUCCUAGCCUCAAAAAUGGAACCCUUUCUUCACAAUUAGUCCCUUGUCCUAUGGGAUCUGAUGACCAUGUGUUCAUCCUAUCACUCAGUUUAAUGGAGGAGUGACCAUGACAAACCUAUAGGCCAAGAAUUUUGAGCAGAAAACUAAAGUGAGCAGAUAGAAUUUUCCAAGCUGCUCCAUGGGCACAAUAGAGAGGGUGGGGAUGAGCCCAAGAUUCUGAAGAGCAAAUAUUCUAUGACUGAGAGAAAUAGAAGGCAGUGUGAUAAAGGACAGUGUGACAGAUUCUGAUAACACUAGACAUUCUGCUAUGAAACUAAAGAUGAUAAAAAUACACAUCUAAAAAAAAUCUACAAAUAGAAACUUAUAGGAACUGUGUUCAGCAUUGAAACCUUGGAAGAAACAAGCCUGCCCGCCUCUAGGGGAAAGGAUCAAUACUGU
RNAcentral lists this long non-coding RNA (839 nucleotides) under Marmota monax (woodchuck). Lineage: Eukaryota; Metazoa; Chordata; Mammalia; Rodentia; Sciuridae. The record is from RNAcentral.